Molecule: ribosomal RNA, 489 nt
Filed under: uncultured bacterium
Lineage: Bacteria
Description: bacterial SSU rRNA
Rfam family: Bacterial small subunit ribosomal RNA
Source: RNAcentral
AUUGAACGCUGGCGGCAUGCUUUACACAUGCAAGUCGAACGGCAGCGGGGGCUUCGGCCCGCCGGCGAGUGGCGAACGGGUGAGUAAUGCAUCGGAACGUGCCCAGUCGUGGGGGAUAACUACGCGAAAGCGUAGCUAAUACCGCAUACGUCCUGAGGGAGAAAGCGGGGGAUCUUCGGACCUCGCGCGAUUGGAGCGGCCGAUGUCGGAUUAGCUAGUUGGUGAGGUAAAGGCUCACCAAGGCGACGAUGGAUAGGGGAACUGAGAGGUUUAUCCCCCACACUGGUACUGAGACACGGACCAGACUCCUACGGGAGGCAGCAGUGAGGAAUAUUGGUCAAUGGACGCAAGUCUGAACCAGCCACGUCGCGUGAAGGAAGACGGCCCUACGGGUUGUAAACUUCUUUAGUCGGGGACGAAUAAAUGACGGUACCCGAAGAAUAAGCCACGGCUAACUACGUGCCAGCAGCCGCGGUAAGUCACACUACA